AGUGAACGCUGGCGGUAGGCCUAACACAUGCAAGUCGAACGGCAGCACAGUAAGAGCUUGCUCUUACGGGUGGCGAGUGGCGGACGGGUGAGGAAUACAUCGGAAUCUACUUUUUCGUGGGGGAUAACGUAGGGAAACUUACGCUAAUACCGCAUACGACCUACGGGUGAAAGCAGGGGAUCUUCGGACCUUGCGCGAUUGAAUGAGCCGAUGUCGGAUCAGCUAGUUGGCGGGGUAAAGGCCCACCAAGGCGACGAUCCGUAGCUGGUCCGAGAGGAUGAUCAGCCACACUGGAACUGAGACACGGUCCAGACUCCUACGGGAGGCAGCAGUGGGGAAUAUUGGACAAUGGGCGCAAGCCUGAUCCAGCCAUACCGCGUGGGUGAAGAAGGCCUUCGGGUUGUAAAGCCCUUUUGUUGGGAAAGAAAAGCGGCAGGUUAAUACCCCGCUGUUCUGACGGUACCCAAAGAAUAAGCACCGGCUAACUUCGUG
RNAcentral lists this ribosomal RNA (492 nucleotides) under uncultured bacterium. RNAcentral's name for it is "partial 16S ribosomal RNA". It matches the Rfam family "Bacterial small subunit ribosomal RNA", at positions 29 to 507 of the family's 1533-position model. The record is from RNAcentral.